RNAcentral lists this ribosomal RNA (253 nucleotides) under uncultured bacterium. RNAcentral describes it as "partial 16S ribosomal RNA". It matches the Rfam family "Bacterial small subunit ribosomal RNA", at positions 524 to 776 of the family's 1533-position model. The record is from RNAcentral.
UACGUAGGUGGCAAGCGUUGUCCGGAUUUAUUGGGCGUAAAGGGCGCGCAGGCGGUCCGUUAAGUCCGAGGUGAAAUCUCCCGGCCUAACUGGGAGGGGUCUUCGGAUACUGGCGGACUUGAGGAGAGCAGAGGUGAGCGGAAUUCUCGGUGUAGUGGUGAAAUGCGUAGAUAUCGGAAGGAACACCGGUGGCGAAAGCGGCGUGCUGGAUCCCUUCUGACGCUGAGGCGCGAAAGCCAGGGGAGCAAACGGG